This 435-nucleotide ribosomal RNA is filed under the name uncultured Saccharofermentans sp. RNAcentral's name for it is "partial 16S ribosomal RNA". It matches the Rfam family "Bacterial small subunit ribosomal RNA", at positions 341 to 792 of the family's 1533-position model. The record is from RNAcentral. Lineage: Bacteria; Bacillati; Bacillota; Clostridia; Eubacteriales; Oscillospiraceae.
ACGGAAGGCAGCAGUGGGGAAUAUUGGGCAAUGGGCGCAAGCCUGACCUAGCAAUGCCGCGUGAAGGAUGAAGGUCUUCGGAUUGUAAACUUCUUUGAUUGGGGAAGAAUAAAUGACCUACCCAAAGGACAAGCUCCGGCUAACUACGUGCCAGCAGCCGCGGUAAUACGUAGGGAGCAAGCGUUAUCCGGAUUUACUGGGUGUAAAGGGCGUGUAGGCGGCUCUGCAAGUCAGAAGUGAAAUCCCCGAGCUUAACUUGGGUGCUGCUUCUGAAGCUGUAGAACUUGAGUACUGGAGGGGAAAGCGGAAUUCCUAGUGUAGCGGUAAAAUGCGCAGAUAUUAGGAGGAACACCGGUGGCGAAGGCGGCUUUCUGGACAGUUACUGACGCUGAGGCGCGAAAGCGUGGGGAGCAAACAGGAUUAGAUACCCUGGUA